RNAcentral lists this ribosomal RNA (672 nucleotides) under Escherichia coli. RNAcentral describes it as "partial 23S ribosomal RNA". It matches the Rfam family "Bacterial large subunit ribosomal RNA", at positions 609 to 1280 of the family's 2925-position model. Lineage: Bacteria; Pseudomonadati; Pseudomonadota; Gammaproteobacteria; Enterobacterales; Enterobacteriaceae. The record is from RNAcentral.
UGUAUAAUGGGUCAGCGACUUAUAUUCUGUAGCAAGGUUAACCGAAUAGGGGAGCCGAAGGGAAACCGAGUCUUAACUGGGCGUUAAGUUGCAGGGUAUAGACCCGAAACCCGGUGAUCUAGCCAUGGGCAGGUUGAAGGUUGGGUAACACUAACUGGAGGACCGAACCGACUAAUGUUGAAAAAUUAGCGGAUGACUUGUGGCUGGGGGUGAAAGGCCAAUCAAACCGGGAGAUAGCUGGUUCUCCCCGAAAGCUAUUUAGGUAGCGCCUCGUGAAUUCAUCUCCGGGGGUAGAGCACUGUUUCGGCAAGGGGGUCAUCCCGACUUACCAACCCGAUGCAAACUGCGAAUACCGGAGAAUGUUAUCACGGGAGACACACGGCGGGUGCUAACGUCCGUCGUGAAGAGGGAAACAACCCAGACCGCCAGCUAAGGUCCCAAAGUCAUGGUUAAGUGGGAAACGAUGUGGGAAGGCCCAGACAGCCAGGAUGUUGGCUUAGAAGCAGCCAUCAUUUAAAGAAAGCGUAAUAGCUCACUGGUCGAGUCGGCCUGCGCGGAAGAUGUAACGGGGCUAAACCAUGCACCGAAGCUGCGGCAGCGACGCUUAUGCGUUGUUGGGUAGGGGAGCGUUCUGUAAGCCUGCGAAGGUGUGCUGUGAGGCAUGCUGGAGGU